Aspergillus sclerotiicarbonarius CBS 121057 is the source of this 142-nucleotide non-coding RNA. The record is from the annotation of a GenBank genome assembly. Lineage: Eukaryota; Fungi; Ascomycota; Eurotiomycetes; Eurotiales; Aspergillaceae.
GCCCUGCUGGCGCAAUGGUAGCGCGCAAGACUUCUAUUACUACUUCUGAUAAAAACAUUAUCUUGAAGGUCCCUUUGACUCUCUUGUGUAUGAGAGAGAUACAGAUAUCUUGAGGUUGUGGGUUCGACCCCCACGUAGGGCU